UUUCCGUAGGUGAACCUGCGGAAGGAUCAUUACCUAGAGUUUGUGGACUUCGGUCUGCUACCUCUUACCCAUGUCUUUUGAGUACCUUCGUUUCCUCGGCGGGUCCGCCCGCCGAUUGGACAACAUUCAAACCCUUUGCAGUUGCAAUCAGCGUCUGAAAAAACAUAAUAGUUACAACUUUCAACAACGGAUCUCUUGGUUCUG
This 204-nucleotide unclassified non-coding RNA is filed under the name plant metagenome. RNAcentral's name for it is "partial contains small subunit ribosomal RNA, internal transcribed spacer 1, and 5.8S ribosomal RNA". The record is from RNAcentral.